GUGCACCAGUCGCGAAAACUCUGCAAUACGCGAAAGCGUGACAGGGCUACCCCGAGUGUCGUCCGCUGAGGACGACUUUUCCACGCUGUAAGGAGGCGUGGGAAUAAGGAGAGGGCAAGUCUGGUGUCAGCCGCCGCGGUAAUACCAGCUCUCCGAGUGGUAGGGACGUUUAUUGGGCUUAAAGCGCCCGUAGCCGGUCAUGCGUGUCUCCAGUUAAAUCCAGCAGCCUAACUGCUGGGCCGCUGGAGAUACUGUAUGACUUGGAGGCGGGAGAGGCUACCGGUAGUCCCGGGGUAGGAGUGAAAUCUUAUAAUUCCGGGAGGACCACCAGUGGCGAAGGCUGUCGGCUAGAACGCGCUCGACGGUGAGGGACGAAAGCUGGGGGAGCGAACCGGAUUAGAUACCCGGGUAGUCC
RNAcentral lists this ribosomal RNA (415 nucleotides) under uncultured archaeon. RNAcentral's name for it is "partial 16S ribosomal RNA". It matches the Rfam family "Archaeal small subunit ribosomal RNA", at positions 330 to 747 of the family's 1478-position model. The record is from RNAcentral.